RNAcentral lists this long non-coding RNA (36640 nucleotides) under Triticum aestivum (bread wheat). RNAcentral's name for it is "long non-coding RNA (TAES_LNC006206)". The record is from RNAcentral. Lineage: Eukaryota; Viridiplantae; Streptophyta; Magnoliopsida; Poales; Poaceae.
AGUUAUCUGUCACUAUCAGCUAGCUCUAAUUGAAUUUUUUUGGAGCAGUUCCAUUUGCAAAUAGACCAGCUACAAGGGCACACACAUACGCACACGCGCACCCUAAUUGAGAUAUCAUAUUACAAUGGUAACAAAUAUGUUAGUAUUUCUUACAUGCUGGCAGCUUAAGCAAGCACCUUGCGCUAUUAACUUCAGCUAGAUGUAGUAAUCUGUCACAAGAGCGUGACCAGUUCAGACCACCAUAUAAAAGAGCGGUACCAGCAGCAGACUUCAGAGGAAAGUUGAUUUUAUCCCUAAAUAAGAUGCUCCAUUUGACAUGCUCUAAAUGGACUAAUGAAAUAAUCUAGAACACCUCUGCAACUCUGGGGAUUUUGUAAUUAACUGCAUAUUGUACAAGGUGUCAAAUAUGUGAUUUAAGUAAAAUAUAGAGCAAUGGAAGUACAAGUGAUACGCCUGAAUAAAGCAUAACCUACAAGAAUCACAAGGGCUAAAAAUUCAGAAUGCAGAAAAUCUACAUAUGCCAAGAAGGUCACUCACCAAUAACCAUGUGUACUUCCAUACUGCGUAAACAGGGGAUAAAAAUUGUUUGAUCUGCAGUUAAUCACCUAAGCAUUGGGUUAACACAGUGGUGCUACUUUUCUUUUCCGUCCAAAACAGAACCAUCAUGUCUUGAGUUUCCUGAAAAACAGUAGACAUGCAUAUGAAUCCUAGUACUAAUUAACAACUAAUAAAAGAUGUCGAUCAAGCUUCAGAAACUUAGCGGCUGCAUAUUGAGUUCCAUCAUUGUUUUCCUCGAAACCACAAUCCAUAACACCUGCAUAUAUCUCACCUGGAGUAUUAUUAAAUACCCGUCUUCUUGCCCUCGAGUAUAUAUCACCUGCAAAAUAGGACAUGUGCUACUUAGAAAGAUUCUGUUUUUUAUCUGACAAAGCACUGAAUCAAAUAAUUCCUUUGCCCAUGAGUCUAGGUUUCUAAAAAUUUACUGAGAAGGUCAAAAAAAGUGCAGCAUUUGUAGGACAUGCCAACACAGAAAAGUAAACAUGUAACAGAAGUGGGAAGGAGGGAACAAGGAUGAUGGUAUUUAUAUGGAGGUUAUGGAGCUGAAUUUCUCCCUCUGACGUCCGGUUAUGGGAUAACCAAUCUGCGGCAAGUUGAAAGAGGGGCCUCUGUUCCGCCGUUUGUUGGGAAAAUUUGCUCUUAUGUAAGAACGCAGUUAGAUUAGAAGUUGUGAACACAACUUGCCGCAGAGCUUAAUCCAUGAUUUGCCGUAGAAAAAAAUACAUAGCCUAGCAUAGGUGUUCUAGAGUACAUAACCUACCAGAAAAAAUAUCUGGAGGCAGAGGAGAAAGGAUCAGACAUUAGCGAAGAAAAGGGGCUAACCUUAGAAUCAUGUUUUUUCAGUGGAAGUUUAUCUCAUGAUUCAUACUCAUCAUCCUGUGUCCCCUCCCUGGUUCGCCACUUCUGAUUACUGCAACUUCUUCCUUCUUCUCCCUGUCUGCUAAUCUAGCAGGAAGUGGCGGCCAUGGUCUAGUAGGAAAAUGUGGCCACGAACCCGCAAAAGACGGCGGCCAGCCUGGACCGCAGCAGCUGCGACGGUGAUCUGGCCAGGAAGAAGAUUGGCAGUCAUGAUGGAAGGUCCAGUGGAGCUUUGGUCCAUGGCCAUGGCGUCCUGCACGGGGACGGAGAGAGGGAGAGAGAAAGGAGGAGGAGGGCGCUGGGCACGACUGACCGACAAAGGAGGUUGGCGACGGCUUGCAGGAGCGCAGGCGGCGACGGGAGGCGGGGUGAAUGGGGGGGAAGCGCACGGGAGGAGGGAAGGGAGGAGCGGCGACGCGAGGUUUGCUGCUGAUUCAUCCGGAAAUUAGGAAGUUGCGGGCGAGGCUGCGGGGAUCUGUAGACGCGGGGCGCGGAUGAUUAGCAAACGACGGCGUCUGCCAGGCAGAACAUUUAAUCUCAGACGUUGAUUGAGAUGGCAGAUUAUGGAUGUAAUAUGGUCAGUAGGAUGUGUUUAAGUUGAUUUGAUCGAAGGGUCCGGGUUACCCCGUGUACAGUUUGUUGUGUGGCUUUAGACAAAAUUAUGUUUGCUCUUUUAAUAGUAGUAUAGAUAUAGAUAUAGAUAUAAAUCAACAUUCAACCGAUACAACCAGCUUGCUGCGGCCGCAACACAAACAAGCCCAAAAGAAAAAAUAAAAUAAAAAAGAAAUAAAUGCCGACGCUGGCAGCUCAACUAAGCAAAGAUGGCCGACACCCGUUGCACCCUCCAGAGAAGUACCGCUCGCCAAGCACUCCGAAGUCUUGCGUACCAAGCAACAUCUUCAUGAAGAAAUGCAACAACGACAACGCUGCUGCCCGAACAAGUCCUAGGGUUUCCCCUGGUACGCGGAUGUCAGUGGGGAAGGGGUAUCACCGACGCCCCUCAGGAGGGACCGGCAACGCCCACGGACGCAGCCGCGCCGGUGGCGAACGAGCCGCCAGAGAUUUCUCCUGCCCCGAAACCACCAUCGCCACCCCAGACAAACGGAAGUGCACCGCCCAACAUGCCACCCACCAGCCCGUGCCACCACAGAUACCGCACCAUCAUCACCGUCUCAAUGAGGCCACCAACACGAGACCUGGAGGUAGGACGAGAAGACACCGGGCUCGGUGGCACCGCAACGCAGCCGGCAGGAGGGAACAACCUCCACCGCCGGGCGGAGCCGACCGGACAUAGCGAUAGGGACUUGCCAGGCCACACCGGCCCGGCCGGACCCCAACGGGUCCGGACAAUCCCUGCAGCCACGCUGCAGCACAUCGGCUGCCUCGCCUCACCACUAGGGAGCUACGUCGUCGCGCCCCGGACCGCAGGCCCACCCCAGCCCAGAUGGGACCCAAAAGGGCCCAGAUCUGGGCCGAGCGGGCGCCGCCGGCCAGCCGCCCAUCGCGCCGCCUCGUCAAGAGCACCCGAGGCCCGCAGAACUCCGUCGUCGGGCCCCACCUUCGCGAGCCGAACAGCACCGCCGCCGGGCAGGAGGGAGCCCCGACUUCCCCUCCAGGCGUGCGGGGAAUGGACGUCCGCCGCCGCCGGCGCCAUCCGGGCACACCGAAGGCCGUUGCCGGUGGCGGCGAAGGGAGAUGGAGAAGGAGGGGGUCGAGACAGGGAGGCGGGCAGGGGGUGCUCCGCUGCCUCGCGGGGCGACGGGAGCGCCGGGGGAGGGAGGGGAGGGGGAGAGGGAGGUAGGCCGGAGGGCGCGCGCGACGGCGGCCGGCGCCAGCGGGAGGGGGCGCAUGGGGGGAGCAGGGGAGGAACCCUCAGGUUAAAUUUACCCGACGACGUCUUUACCCGUCAGUGGGUUCACGUGGUAGCUAGCAUAUGGCCAGCCCUAUACAUUUUCUGGAUACCUGGAUUCAGGAGCGUAGAGUGCAACGCCAGGGAGCGCUACAAACGGGGAGAUCCGAAAUUUCUUCAGCAUUUUGCCGGCCGCCUGCUCUUUGCAGAAGGUAUAUUUUUUGUCUCCGCAAAAAACAUUUAUAUGUAUUGUAUUGAAACUUAGAUGUACUUUAUAUGUUUUCAAACUCUGCCUCUCCCUCCACACGUCGAUCCCAUGUACACAUGCUUAAAUUAAAUUUCAAAUGAAGUUUAAGUUUUAAAAUGCACACGGCUAACAAUUGAACAACAUAUUCAACAUUGAUCUUGUUUCAAAGAUCUCAUGAGCCGUGAAGACAAAGUUGACAAUCAAAACAGAUUCAAAAAUCAGGCAUUCGGUUCAAAGUAUAUAACCAUUUUUGUGUAUGGGCCAAAAAAUUAAACACAUAAAUUUAUUGAUGGAAGAAUGUGAUGUGCAAUGUGGGUCAAAUAUAAUAAACCAUAAGGUUGCUUCCAUAAAUAUGGUAUAGUCCAAUGUAUGGCAAAAUCUGGCACGUUGCAUUUUUAUCUAAUGGCCCAAAACCUAUUGGUGCACCUGGUGCACAGGAUACGUUCUAACCAUGGUGGUACUACGUAGCGUGGGGGCUCCGUUGCUGCCGCUGUUGUUGUGGUGGUGCAGGCCGCUGCUUUUUUGUUUCUGAACAGGACAUCCGUCCGUCCGUCCUCGUAGCAGAAACAAGGGCCUACCCAGCACAGAUGCUCUGGAGCGUAGCAACAAUGGUGCACCGUGCAUGCAGGGAUCAGAUCACGCUCUCGCACGCGCACGCUCGCCACUGUUGGUCUGUCCCUGCUCUCGAGAAUUAAUAGGGCCCGUGUCCGUGCCCGGGUCGUCUUACUGACGACGCUGUCGCGGCGGCAGCGGGUUCUGCAGCCGCGUGCGUGCGUGCGUCCUGAUGCCGGAUGAUUGGGCACGCACGUAAAGAAGGCCCUGUUCAUGUCUCCGGCACGGCGGCGACCGGCGAGGGCCACUGAAAUGAAGGGCAGAGGGGGGAGCGGAGAGCGGAGGCCGAAGAUCGAGGCAUCGCCAGACGCUGCUGGGGAAACGAAGGCGAGCCUAGCUAGGAGUACUGAACUGACACGGACGCGUUCAAGUGGAAGCUAUGUGAUGAUCAGGCAAAGUGUACGCUCUGGCGCACCACCACCAAUAGCACGGCAGAAGGAACUACAAGGAAGACGUGGACUGCCCCAUGAGGCAUGCCCUUUCUACGAUCAGCACGAUGAGACGAUCAAUCACCUCAUGGUGAACUGCACACUUUGAAAGAAAGUGUGGCACGGGAUUAGCGUCGCGACGGGACGGCCGGGGCUGGAGCCGAGGGCCGACGACACCUUGUGCUCUUGGUGCGUUGGGCAAGAGCAGCGUGCAGAGAACCGGCGAACUAUGCGAGCAUUGUGCCUGUUAGGCACGUGGGUCAUCUGGAAGCACUGGAAUGAUAUCGUCUUUGACGGUGCGGUGCCCUCCGCCUUUCGGGUCAUACGACGGUUCGAUAGCGAGGGGAGGAUUUGAAGGCAAGCAAAGACUCUUGAGAGGGGAUCUCGACGGAUUGUUUGCAGGAUUAGCUAGGUAUUCGAGAAAAAAGAACUGCAAGGAAAUCCUGCAAACGUUGAGAUGGGGGAAAAUCAUGCCGCAUUUUCCAUCUGGAAAUAUGAAAGCCAGCUCGCCUUCUCUUCUUUCAGCACACAAUCAUGUAAAAAAAAAUAAUCCCAACCCACAAUAGACUAGUCUGUUGGCAUUUUUUUAUAGAAGAAAAUUCCGUGAACACCAAGGGUUCGAGACAAGCCCCGAACAUUGAUGGGUUGACUGCGAAUUUCCGCGCCUUCCAACUGAGCUACGCUCCAUUCUCGCACGCAGUCAUGUAGCACCACGGCUUCCAAACGUCCCAACCAUUGUGAUCUGAAUGCCAAUCCUCAGGAAACAUGCAAGCUGAAUAAACGGAACCCACACACACACACACUGACACACACAUGAAAGCAUUUCAGAGUUUUACAGUGGGGUCCUCAAAGCUGGGCCGAAUUGGGUACAACCUUCCAAGCAGCUCUGCAACACGGAAGCCCAUUUUGUCUUGAGGGAAGCCUAUAUCAUUCUUCGCGUCCGUUCAGCAAAAGACGAUACUCUUUGUCUAAAAAAAAGCAAAAGACGCCACUCUGGAGUAUACUUUUGUUUCUUUUGUUAAACGGUCUUUUUUCAUUAUGUUUGGAUUGCUUAACACGUGUCCCACAUGAUUUUAGUGAACGAUCUACUUGAGACCCGAGCUGCACUUGAGAUGAUACAAUUCUUCUUUUUACGGAAAAACUUUUAAUCUAUUCAUCUUCAAUCAUGAUAGUACAACGAACACUAAACAUAAUAAAAAUUACAUUCAGAUCCGUAGACCAUCUAGCAACGACUACAAAUACUGAAGCGAGCCGAAAGCGCGCUGCUGUCAUCGCCCCUCCCUUAUCGGAGCCGGACAAACCUUAUUGUAGUAGACAGUCGGGAAGUCGUCGUGCUAAGGUCCCAUAGAACCAACACACCAGAACAGCAACCGCCGCGGAUGAAGAGUGUAGAUCAAAAGUAUCCAACUUGAAGACACACGAACGAAGACGAACGACGAACAGAUCCGAGCAAGUCCACCAAAGACAGAUUCGCUGGAGACACACCUCCACACGCCCAUCGAUGAUGGACUAGACUGGGAGACUUUUAUUCCAUCUUCAGGGAGCCGCCGACGCCUCGCCUUCCUGAGCAGGACACAAACCCUAACAAAGCUCGAAAAAAGGUAUGAAAACAGAGCCCUCCCACCGGCAAGGGCCGAGAUCCACUCCGUCUCCAUGGCCCUAAGGUCAUCGAAGACGGGACGGACUGGCGACGACGCUGAUGGGAAGCAAAGAGCCCUAGUUUUGGGAAGGCGGCGGCUGGCUACGUUGAAAGCUUAGCUUUGACUAGCAUUGUUUAGAACAGACACACAUGUACUCCCUCCGCCCUAUAAUGUAGCUUUCAAAAACGUCUUACAUUAUUUUUGCCUCAAUAGCCAACUACCGCUCCCUGGGAAGCGUCACAUUUGUGAACGUUUCUUAUGGCAAGUUCUUCAAACAACAUGGCAAUUUCUUCAUAUACACAUGGUGGCAAAUUUUGCAACAAGGAUGUCGAAAUUUGUGGUGUUCGCUUGAGGAAUUGCCAUGUUCUCUUCUCGCAACAUAAAAUGUCACGAGAAACGUUUGCAAAUGCCACCCUCAGCGUGGAAGCUGAAGCGGAAGUCAGCGUACACCCGCCAGCGUGUGGCGUCUAGGUGCAAAUGGUCCAGCGACCAGCAGAGAAGAGGCCGAGGACGUCGUCGUCUUUCGCGGUCAGUGGGCCGGCUCACGUGGCAGUAGCUAUCAUGGUACGUACCAUAAGGGGGGCUCCAUUGUUGUGGUGGUGCAGUCUUCUUUGCCUGACGAAGAAGACGUACGCGUCCGUCCACCUAGCCCAAGCGCACGGCCCUGGAGUGGAAUGUAGCAACAGCGGUGCAGCACAGCCAGUCACAUGAACCAACCACUGCAUGCGAGGGGCCGUUGCUCGAAUCAGAUCACGCUCUCAAGCGCGCAGGCGCGCGGUUGCAUGCAGGCUCGCCGUGUUCCUUUGGUGCUCGUGGUAGCGUGCCUGUAUGAUCCCGUGGCCGGGCCAUCUAUCUGACGCCGCUGUCUCGGCGGCAGCAGGCUAUGCAGGCCCGCGCGCGCGUGCGCGCGUCCUCAUGCUCCAUGAUUGGGCACGCACAUAAAGAGGAGGUCCAGUUCAUGUCGCCGGAUGCCGCCGGAGCUGGGGCGGAGCAUGAUUGGCUGCCGCCGGAGAGCGGAGGCCGGAGAUGGAGGCUUUGACUACACCCCGCGGGGGAAACGAAAGCGACUAGGCGAGCCUAAAGAGUACUCUGGAUACCACAAUUGAGAUUUGAGAGAGACUCGUCGAGUGGAAGCUAUGAUCAGCCAAAGUGCACGCGCUGACGCGCCGCCAGCCCUGAUAAUUUGCUGGAUUUUGGAGCGUAUAGUACAGCACCACCGAUACCACAGGAGAAGGGAAGAAAAAUGGGAAUGCUACAAAUGAGUGGUGCUAGACUCUGGAGCAGAGGAUUUGCUGGGUCAAGUGCUAUUGCAGAGUGAGGUCGUCGUGCCUGUGCGGCAGCGUUACAGUAACACACGCAGAGAAGAGGGAAGCAUUUCAGAUCAAUGUUGGGCCGAAUUGGGUACAAGCCUCCAUCGCGUGAUCAUCAAUUCCCAGUUUUUGCAUGUCCCGCAGCGGCCCACUGUCCCUAAACACGAGUACUUUGGUCAAAUCUGCAACGUGGAAGACCAUUUCCUCUUCCUUUUUGCAACAAAGGGAACACUUUUUUCUUUUCAAAAAAAAAGGGAACAGUUUUUUUUCAUAACUAGUAAGCGGUGUAAUCAGAACAGAUGUUAGUAGCCGAUACACGAGUUACCGCUGAGAUGAUGCAAUCCAGGCACGCAUGUCGUUGACUGACACGACCUGCAAUUCAAUUAACUGCACCAAAAAAUGCCGCUAAAUCAAUCUGCUGCACAAACAAAAUCAUAUUGAAACAACUGCAUCCCUGUUGACUACAUGAAAAAAUAACGGUUAAAUGAACUGCAAAAAAAAUGCAGUUGAACAAUCAAUCCUUCUUUAUUUCUAAAACAGGCUCAUAAUGCAACAUUCACGUUAAGCCAUGUCAAUCUCAAAGAGCAGUCGCAUGAUUGUAUUAACAAUCAAUAACGUCCAUUAGAUCUUGGUGGUUUGACCUAUGUCCUUCGUUGAAAAGACAAUUCUUAGGUGAAAAGAUGACUCUUCGUGAAAAAUUGCCUGUCACAUCUCUCGGUGGAAAGACAUCUCCGCCACCGGGUGCUCCUUCUUCUCAGCUAGUGCCCGCCCAUACUCCCUCCCCUCCUCCUCCCACAAGAGGAUGCGGAUGUGGCCGACGUUGUUGGCCUCGUCUUCCUCCGCCAACGACUGCUCUUCCUAUUCCUCUGUGUCGUCCUCCUCAUUCUUUCAUUCUUCAUAACAACCUCUUCCUCCGACUUCUCCAUGGCAGCUGUGAAUUGCUCCUCCUCGUCCUUGUUGUUGUUCUCGGAGCUCAGCGAGUCGACAAGCACGACGUUCCCCGCCGGCACACCCCACCUCAGCUACCACGAGAAGGCAUACUCAUGGGUGGGAAGGCUCCGAACCAUGGCGGAAUUGAGCGGCGCGACGACAAUAACGAUGAUUUGGGGUGUCAACGGCGGUGAUUUUGGCGAAAACAAGUGGCAACGGGCAGGUGGGAGGGGGGUCGUACUAUACUAUGGCGGUUGAUACCUUAUUUUGAGUGAGAAGGAGGAGACGAGAGGUUGCUCAAAUUUGCUAUGGCAGUUAAACAUUUGAGGAGCAGGGAAGGGGUAGCUAUGGUAUAACUUCCUUAAAAGGGAAUCUUGUGACGAGUUAAAGAAUUGAGGCAAUGAUUAGAGAUGCUAUAAUCUUGCGUAACCUUCCAUCUUGUCUACAAAAGGGAGGGCGCUCAUUUUCAUUUCGGGACAAAUAUGUAAGACAACCAAAGCAAUGAUUCUAUGAAGUUCCUUAUACAAUCAUACACUAGAAAAACCUUUGUUCAGAUAUUUGUUGUACCGUAUAGAUCUCUACAAAUGUAUUUAAGGAUGUUAAAUAUGCAACACACACACACACACACAAAGGGAUCGUACAUGAAUAUCUACACACACACAGGAUCUUGCAACUAUGUUCCUUUUAUUUUUCUCAUAUUUUUCAUCUCUUUUUAAUGCUAAUUAUCGAAAAAGAAAACUAAACUAAACUUCUAAUACAAACUAUAGUUUAAAUUUAGCAAAAUCACUUUAUAACAAACCUAUCUAUAAAAAAACAUCAAAUUUUAAUGUUUAGCGCUAUUGUGUACAAUAAUGAUAACUAAGAAAAAAGUAACUAAAAUUGUGUGUCAAUAAAAUAAAUGAAAAUAUAAAGUAUAAAAUUUAGUGCAAAAGUUUUUUAGAUCGGCCCAAAAAACUAAGGUUGUUUUCAAAUAAGCUGACAACUGAGGCGCCGAUAAAAUUACACACCAAAUUUGUAAAUAUUAUGCCGUGAUGUAUAGGAUAUGUGGCCAUGUGUAACACCCUCGAUGCGACUAUAUCUCCCACGUGUCGAGGCACGACUUAGAGGCAUAAUCGCAUUGAAGGCAUAUGUCACAAGUUAGGCAAUCUUCACAACAUCCCAUGUAAUAUAAAUCAUAAAGAGGAGAUAACAUAGUUGGCUUACACUCGCCACGUCAAUCAAGUACAUAAAUAACAUUACAUCAUCCAAACACUCAUGGCCCGACUCCGGCGCCAAAAUAAAAGAUAACCCAACAAGCGACACGGUCCCAAUCACCCCCAUCUGGGCACCACUACUGAUCAUCGGGAAAGGAAACAUAGUAACGUUGAGAGUCUUCGUCGAACUCCCACUUGAGCUCGUACGCGUCUCCUGGAGCGGAAUCAUCAGCCCUGCAUCUGGUGUAAUAGUAAUCUGUGAGCCACAGGGACUCGGCAAUCUCGCACCCUCGCGAUCAAGACUAUAUAAGCUUAUAGGUAAGGCAGGGUAAAUAUGUGAGUGGAGCUGCAGCAAGCGACUAGCAAGUAUGGUGGCUAGCUUAUACGCAAAAGAGAGCGAGAAGAGGAGGCAAAGCGCGAGCGAGAAACUAGAGAACAACCUGCGCAAACAUUACUCCAACACCGUGUCCACUUCCCGGACUCCGCCGAGAAGAGGCCAUCACGGUAACACACUCAGUUGAUUCAUUUUAAUUAAUUAAGGUUCAAGUUGUCUACAACCGGACAUUAACAAAUUCUCAUCUGCCCAUAACCGCGGGCCCGGCUUUCGAAAGUUCAAAUCCCUGCAGGGGAGUCCCAACUUAGCCCAUGACAAGCUCUCACGGUCAACGAAGGAAUAGACCUCCUCCCAAGAUGUUCCGAUCAGACUCGGUAUCUCGGUAAUUCAAGACACUUCGAAAGGUUAAAACAAGACCAGCAACACCGCCCGAAUGUGCCGACAAAUCCCAAUAGGAGCUGCACAUAUCUCUUUCUCAGGGCACACUCCGAUUGUCUUAGGUACGGGUAGGCCAGCCCAGAGUUGCCCCUGGUGGCCACCGGCAGCUGACAGGUGGACCAACACUCAGAGGAGCACUGGCCCGGGGGGUUAAAAUAAUGGUGACCCUUGAGUCUGCAGAACCCAAGGGAAAGAAAAUGCUAGGUGGCAAAUGGUAAAACCAAGGUUGGGCAUUGCUGGAAAAGCUUUAAUCAAGGCGAAAUAUCAAUGGGUUCCCAUUAUAACCCAACCGCGUAAGGAACGCAUAAUCCGGGAACAUAACACCGAUUUGACGGAAACUAGGGCGGCAAGAGUGGAACAAAACACUAGGCGAGAGGCCGAGCCUUCCACCCUUUACCAAGUAUAUAGAUGCAUUAAGAUAACAUAGCAAUAUAAUGAUAUCUCAACAAGUAAAUAAAUGUUCCAACAAGGAACGGCCUUCAAUCUUCACCUGCAACUAGCAACGCUAUAAGAGGGGCUGAGCAAAGCGGUAACAUAGCCAAUCAACGGUUUGCUAGGACAAGGUGGGUUAGAGGUUUGACAUGGCAAUUUGAGAGGCUUGAAAGCAAGUGGUAGGCAUCGUAGAAAUGACAUAGCAAAAGAGCGAGCAAACUAGCAUAGCAAAGAUAGUAGUGAUUUCGAGGGUAUGAUCAUCUUGCCUGCACAGUUGUCAGAGUUGACUGGAUCCUCGAAAGCAAACUCAACGGGCUCCUCAUUAGCGAACUCGUCUCCUGGCUCUACCCAAACAAGACAAGCAAGCAAUAAGGAUACAAUCAACCACAUGCAAACUCAAACAAGACGGUGCGAAGAUGAUAUGCUAUGCGGGAUGCAAAAUGCAAGAUGUGACAGGAAAUGCAUGAACCUGGCCUCAACUUGGAAAACCAAGUGUCCCACUGGAAAGAUGAGAUGAAAUCGCUUGAAAACGAUAUAAAGAAUGCCGGAAUCGGAGUUACGGUUUGGAAAUGGCAAGCGAUUCAAAAAUGACACCGGUCUGCGAUUUACAGCAAGUAGGCAUCUAAAUGCAACGAAAUGAACAUGCCAUAGUACCCAAACAUGACAACAAAAUACAUGGCAGGGAUGCACACAAAAUGCUUAACAAAAGUCUAGCACUGAUCUACAGCCAAUUCAUCCAUUAACAGGUUCAAACAAGCAUGGCAAAAAUGCAUAUGGCAAACAUAUCUCAGACUUAGUGAAAUUAACACUUGUCUGGAAUUUCAGAUCAGGUAGCCCUCUUCGGAGCAACAAAACUAUAUGCUACAGGACCUGAACAUGGAAAAGUAAAGCCUGGCAUGGAGCUACUCAAAGAUCUUAACAAAAGUCCCUUAGUGACCUUGAGCCAAAAGGGAUCAAAAAAUACAAUUGCAAGCAUGUGAACAUAGCAAAAACAUAAUCAGUUUUCAGACUUAGUGAAAACUGGCACAUGCUGAAAUAUAACUCAAGUAGGCAUGUUUACGAGCUCGAUGCACUCACUACGGUGCAAGUCAUGGCAAGACAAGCAUACAUACAUCAAGAUGGCACAAAAUGCAAGCUAGACAUGGCAAGAACAAUAACAUAGCAUGCACGGAUCAACUACAACAACACCGGCAAAAUUGCAAACAAGUUGACAAUCUGCCCAGAUUCACAAAGUAGCAAAAGUAGAGCUCGAUUGACUCAAGCUAGGGUGCUCCAUAAUUUCAAACAAAGAUAUGGAUGGAUAGAACACUACAAUAUUAACAAAACAUCCUUACUGAUCAUCCUCAAAACAGGCACGGAUCACUAGGAAACAACAAGAACAUGUGGCAUCAUGAGAUAAACAGCUCCAGGACUUGGUGAAAUUACUAAGUCCCUGAAAACAGAAUUAGCAAGUGCACCACUUUGCAAGCUUGCACAAGUCACCACACACAUCACAAAAAUACAAGGGUUGCACCUAUGGAAAGAUGACAAAACCCUUAACAAAACACAUGUAGAGUAUCAGGGCAUAUCAUGCACACAAUAAUCAUGGCAAAAAUAACAGAAGUGCUAAACGGAGUAGCAGAUCUGACAAAUAACUCAAGUAGCCCUUUUCUAACAGCAUUUCGGGCAUCAAGAUGAACUCAAAUGAAAAUGAUGCAAUGGAAUGAAAUGAUGUACUCUCUGGGAUGAACAUUUCGAUAUGCUAUAUGCAUGAAUCAGAGCUACGGAUGCAAAGUUACGUGGCCACGAACAUGAGCAUAUGGACUGAAAAUAUCAGGGACUUGGUGAAAAAAAUGCAACCUCCCAGAUCUAGGGUUUUGGUGGCACGCGGCCCGAGGUUCGCCGGCGCAAGCUCGAGGUCGCCGGCGAGGUGGGUUCGUCGGCGGGGAGAAGAGGGGAGGCGAGGCCGGGGACGGGUGGUGGCGGCCCGGCGCCGGNNNNNNNNNNNNNNNNNNNNNNNNNNNNNNNNNNNNNNNNNNNNNNNNNNNNNNNNNNNNNNNNNNNNNNNNNNNNNNNNNNNNNNNNNNNNNNNNNNNNNNNNNNNNNNNNNNNNNNNNNNNNNNNNNNNNNNNNNNNNNNNNNNNNNNNNNNNNNNNNNNNNNNNNNNNNNNNNNNNNNNNNNNNNNNNNNNNNNNNNNNNNNNNNNNNNNNNNNNNNNNNNNNNNNNNNNNNNNNNNNNNNNNNNNNNNNNNNNNNNNNNNNNNNNNNNNNNNNNNNNNNNNNNNNNNNNNNNNNNNNNNNNNNNNNNNNNNNNNNNNNNNNNNNNNNNNNNNNNNNNNNNNNNNNNNNNNNNNNNNNNNNNNNNNNNNNNNNNNNNNNNNNNNNNNNNNNNNNNNNNNNNNNNNNNNNNNNNNNNNNNNNNNNNNNNNNNNGCGGGCGACUCCGGGCGGCGGGCGGCGGAGGACGUCGGGCGGAGGUCGUCGGAGCUCGGGAACUCCUCUCCCUGGAGCUUGGCGCGGAGGGGCGGAGGGGAACGGGCCCCGUGGGCCGGCGGCGGCGGGAGGCGACGAAGUGGGCACGGCGCCACGUGGCGCUCGACGAUUGGUCCGGGCGGAUCGGGCGGACACGUCCAGCCGUCCGGAUUUUGUCCGGCGGCUGGAGGAGGAGGGGGGACUAGGGUUUCGUCCGGAUUUUCGGGGAGGAGGCUAAAUAUAUAAGUAGAGGGAGCUAGGAGAGUCCAAAUGAGGUGCGGUUUUCGGCCACGCGAUCGUGAUCGAACGCUCUAGAUGAUGGAUCAGAUUUAGGUGGGUUUUGGGCCAAAUUGGGGGGGUGUUGGGCUGCAACACACACGAGGCCUUUUCGGUCCCUCGGUUAACCGUUGGAGUAUCAAACGAAGUCUAAAUGAAACGAAACUUGACAGGCGGUCUACUGGUAGUAAACCAAGGCCGCUUGGCAAGUCUUGGUCCAAUCCGAAAAUGUUUAAUCCCCACACACGAAAGAAAGCUAGAAAUGGCCACCGGAGGAGAACGAAGCGCCGGAAUGCAAAACGGACAACGGGGAAAAUGCUCGAAUGCAUGAGACGAACACGUAUGCAAAUGCAAUGCACAUGAUGACAUGAUAUGAGAUGCAUGACAACGACAACAACACACGGAGACAAAAUCCAAACCCGAGGAAAUAAAUAUAACUUAACGCUGGAAACGGAAAGAGUUGGAGUACAAAUUGGGAAAGUUACAUCCGGCGUGUUACAACACUCCACCACUACGAAAGGAUCUCGUCCCGAGAUCUAGGACUGAAAGAACGCCGGGUACUCAGAACGGAGGUGAUCCUCGCGUUCCCAGGUAGCUUCACGGUCGGAAUGGUGUGACAACUUGACUUUGAGAAAUUUGAUUGACUUGUUGCGAGUCUUGCGUUCAGUCUCUUCAAGAAUAGCAACUGGGUGCUCACGAUAAGAGAGAUCUUCUUGGAGCUCAAUGUCCUCGAAGUUGACUGUGCGGUCAGGAGUCUUGAAGCACUUUCGGAGCUGAGAGACAUGGAACACGUCGUGAACAUUUGCAAAGUUUGAAGGAAGCUCGAGUUGAUAGGCGAGGUCGCCUCUCUUGCUGACAAUCUUGAAAGGUCCCACGUAUCUGGGAGCAAGCUUCCCUUUGAUACCGAAGCGACGAGUACCUUUCAUAGGAGAGAUGCGGAGGUAAACAUGAUCUCCGAUCUCGAAAGCCAAAUCACGGUGCUUACUAUCAUAGUAGCUCUUCUGACGGGAUUGGGCUGCUUUGAGGUUAUCACGAAUGACUUUGCACAUUUCUUCUCCCUCUGUGAUUAAGUCAUUACCCAAAAGCUGACGUUCACCGGUUUCAGACCAGUUGAGAGGGGUACGGCACUUCCUGCCAUACAGAAUUUCAAAAGGGGCCUUGCUCGAACUUGCUUGAAAACUGUUGUUGUAGGAGAAUUCAGCAUAAGGAAGACAAUCCUCCCACUUCAUGCCGAAGGAGAUCACACAAGCCCUGAGCAUAUCUUCAAGAAUCUGGUUGACACGCUCGACUUGACCGCUAGUUUGAGGAUAGAAAGCUGUGCUGAAGCGGAUGUUGGUGCCCAUGGCCUUCUGAAAAGAAUCCCAAAACUUCGAGGUAAAGAUGCUGCCACGGUCUGAAGAGAUCACUUGAGGAAUACCGUGCAGAGAGACAAUGCGAGAGGUAUAGAGUUACGCCAAUUGAGCUGCAGUGAUCGACUCUUUGAUAGGCAAAAAAUGAGCCACUUUGGUGAGUUUGUCGAUGACAACGAAUAUAGCAUCAUUGCCACGCUUGGACUUAGGAAACCCAGUCACGAAGUCCAUUUCAAUGUGGUCAAACUUCCAUUCUGGAAUGGCAAGAGGUUGGAGGAGACCAGCUGGCCUUUGGUGUUCUACCUUCACUCUUCUGCAGACAUCACAUUCAUUCACGAAUUGAGCAAUCUCGCGCUUCAUUCGAGUCCACCAAUAAGCUUGCUUAAGGUCCUGAUACAUCUUCGUGCUCCCAGGAUGGAUGGAGAGGAGAGAAUUGUGAGCCACGUUCAUGAUCACUUUACGAAGUUCACCUUUGGGUACAACAAUACGAUCCUCGAAGAAGAGAGUGUCCUUGUCAUCAAGGCGGUAGCACUUGUAAUUGGGUUGACUCUUGGCAAUCCCAUUCUUCACCUUUUUCACCAUAGCAUCAAGAAGCUGGGCUUGGAGAAUCUGGUCUUCUAAGGUAGGAGAGACUUGAAGGUUGGCGAGGAAACCUUGAGGAACAACUUGCAGAUUAAGUUUGCGGAAAGCUUCACAAAGCUCGGGUUGAUAAGGCUUGAGAAUCAUACUUUUGCAGUAAGCUUUCCUGCUCAAAGCGUCAGCAAUCACAUUGGCCUUGCCUGGAGUAUACUCAAUACUCGGAUUAUACUCUUGAAUCAUUUCGACCCAUCGAGUUUGCCUGAGGUUGAGAUUAGGCUGAGUGAAGAUGUACUUGAGACUCUUGUGAUCAGUGAAAAUGUCCACUUUUCUUCCCAAUAGAAGAUGUCCCCAAGUCAAAAGAGCAUGCACAACUGCCGCCAACUCGAGAUCAUGAGUGGGGUAGUUCUUCUCAUUAGGCUUCAACUGGCGAGAGGUAUAAGCAACAACUUUCUUCUCUUGCAUCAAUAGCGCGCCAAGACCUUGGAGAGAGGCAUCACAAAAGACCUCGUACGGCUUGGAUUCAUCAGGCGGAGUCAGAACUGGAGCAGUGAUCAAUUUCUCUUUCAAAGUGCUGAAAGCAAUAUCACACUCCGGAGACCAAACGUACUUGACGUGCUUCUGAAGAAGAUUUGAGAGAGGCUUCGCGAUCUUAGAAAAGUUUUCAACGAAUCUUCGGCAAUAGCUUGCGAGACCGAGAAAACUGCGGAGUUGCUUCACGUUCUGAGGAGGUUCCCAAUUCACAAUUGCAGACACCUUCUCAGGAUUCACGGCAAUGCCCUUGGCAGAGAUGAUAUGACCAAGAUAAAGAACCUCAUCGAGCCAAAAUUCACACUUGGAGAACUUGGCGUAGAACUUGUGUUCCCUCAACUUAUCAAGAACCAAACGCAAGUGCUUGGCAUGAUCUUCCUUGUUCUUGGAGAAAACCAGAAUGUCAUCGAGAUAGACCAAAACGAAGUCAUUGGUGUAGGCAUUGAAGAUGAAGUUCAUCAUGCGAGAGAACGUCGGAGGAGUGUUGACGAGACCAAAAGACAUGACAGUGUAUUCAUAUGAACCAAAGCUUGUUCUGAAAGCCGUCUUGGGAAUAUCUUGCUCACGGAUACGAAUCUGAUGAUAACCCAUACGGAGAUCAAGCUUGGAGAAUACUUGGGCACCUUUGAGUUGUUCGAACAGCUCAUUGAUGUUGGGAAGUGGGUAUUUUGUUCUUUAUGGUCUUCUUGUUCACUGGACGGUAAUCAACACAAAGUCGGUCCGUUCCAUCCUUCUUCUUCACAAAAAGAACACCACAACCCCACGGAGAAGAACUAGGCCGGAUGAGACCCAUUUUCUCUUGAAUAUCGAGUUGCUUCUUCAGCUCCUUCAACUCUUCAGGUCCGAGAUUGUAAGGACGUUUGCACACAGGUUCCGUGCCAGGCUCAAGAUCAAUAACGAAUUCAACUGGCCGGUGCGGAGGCAUUCCUGGAAGCUCUUCUGGAAAGACGUCUUGAUAUUCGCAAACGACUGGAAUUUGCGAGAUAGCAUCCAGUUCACCCUUCUCAUUGAGAGAAAACAGACGGAUGGUAUUAUCCCGAGCGGCAAAGACAAUUACAUCCUCAGAUGAAUGAGUCAAUUGAAUCUGCCUGGCUGCACAAUCAAGCUGAGCCUUGUGCUUAGAAAGCCAAUCCAUUCCGAGAAUAAGAUCAAUAUCCGAGUCACCAAGAACCGUAGGAAAAUAUAGAAACUUGUAGUCUCCCAAGGUGAUAGUAACAUCCAGAGCAAUGGAGUUAGCAUGCAUGCGCUUACCGGGACAGACAACUGCUAAAGGACUAGGCAAAAUUUGCAAAGGCAAACCAUGCUUAGAUGAAAACGGUCUCGAGAUGAAACAAUGCGAUGCACCCGUGUCAAAAAGAACUUUUGCAGGAAUAUCAUUAACAGGAAGGUUACCCAUGAUCACAUCUGACGAGUCCUCUGCCUGAGUUGCAUUCAUCAAAUUGACCUUGGCGUGCUUGGGGUUAUGCUUGACCACAGCUGUACUUGCCGAUCUGACAGGAGGAGGAGGAGGAAGACGCCUCUGGUUGAAACACUUGUUGGCAUAGUGACCCUUCUGUUGGCACUUGUUGCACAUGACCUCUGAAAGCGGACGGUGAUACGGAGCACUCGAUCUUGGAGCUUGAGACGAAGUCUUGUUCUGAAAGCCAGGGUUGGGUGGGUGGGAAGAACCGCUGCCACCUUUGCUCUUCUGCUGAUACGGCUGACGGAACGGAGGAGGAGGAAGCCAAAACUUCUGCUGCUUGGCCACUUGAGUAGAGGAAGAAGGAGUAACAUCUCUGACUCGCUUCUUGGAAGCAUCACACCUCAACUGAGCAGCCUCUUGCUUCAGUGCCAUGUUGUAGAACUCAUCGUACCUCAAGGGCUUGAAGAGAACAAGAGCUAGCUGAAUUUCUUCUCUGAGACCACCCCUGAACUGGUAUAUCAUGCUCUUCUCAUCAGGGACGUCCUGCUUGGCAAAGCGGGGGAGCUUCUGGAACAACUUGUUGUAGUCAUAGACAGACAAAGAGCCUUGCUUCAGGUUGCGGAAUUCCUCACGCUUGCUUUCAACCACGCUCUGCAGAAUAUGAUGAGCUCAGAAAUCUCGACGGAAAUCAUCCCAAGUGAUAACACGUCCACCUCUGGAGUCCUUGUACUGCUGGAACCAUUCUGCAGCUUGAUCUUUGAGUUGGAAGGAAGCGAACUUAACAAAGUUCUCAGGCCUGACGUUACUGCACUCGAAAUGCUUGCACAGAUCCACUAGCCAAUCGUCAGCAUCGGUUGCCUCAACACAAUUGCUGAAAGUCUUUGGCCCGUUAGCAAGGAACUGGUUGAGUGUAGCAAAGUGAUUCUGAUUGCUGCCUUGAUUCCCUUGGUUGCCUUGAUUGCGCUCUUGAAGAAUUUGCAUGAUCAACUGUGUGUGUGCAUUGGUUGCGGCCAUCACAGCUUGCCAUGCCUCCGGAGGAGGUGGAGGUGGUAGCGGAUCAGGAUUCGGAGUCGUGCGCGUUGGAGGAGCCAUCUUGAAGAGGUUGACCACCAUUAGGACAUUGAUAGAUAAAUAUUGAAGCUGAAUCCAACGGAAUGAAAAUUGCAACAUAUAGUCUUCACAUCCGAACAAAAUGAACGAAUGCAUUCCUCUUGAAAUGGUCACAUAUCCAUAAAUUGAGAAGCCACGUAGAAUUAAAGGUAGAGAAAUAAAUCAACAAGGUACGGAUCAAGAACGAAUAAUCGGUAAGAAAUCUCAAUCUCAAACCAAUAUCCGUGGAAGAAGAACUAGAGCUACUAGAAUUCCCACCUAUGAAACUCCCGAACCUUUCCGGUUAUGCAAUCAGGUGUUGGGCAUACAGGGGAAGCAUAAUAUCUCACCCAAACUAGCAAAUCCUACAUCCAGCUGUAUCCAUCCUUCAACACAUAACGAAGAAACAUUCGGAAACCAUCUACCUCAACCUUCGAAAAGCAUCCGUUAUACAAGUUAUGGAGAUACUCCCGAACUCCCGCCCCAGUACUGGGUGGCGUCGAGGUUAUCUCACCAACGAACUGCAUAAAAGAGAUUUUCGAUGUCGGUGUACUAAACUCAGGUAUACCAGAACUGCAACGAUAAAAUUAUGAUGACAACACCUCAGAGCUCAACUCCCCGGGACACUUCCACUAAACCCCUGACAGGAGGCACCAAGACAAUGUUCUCAUCAUAAAACCAUCGGAACGAUUUCAAGAUACCCGCGUGAUCCUAAAUUUUUUUUAGAGAAAUUUGAGAAGAGAAGAGUCAGAACUCUACGUCAGGAUGCCUUACCAGAGCGAUGAGGAGACUGGGAAGUAAAAAGAAUUCCUAAACUCUCCGAUAUAUAAUUCCUAAAAGACUCAAAACAUUUUUCUAGACACAACUCGGCCGCUAAAAACGAUCAAGCAAUGGGGCUCCUAAGGUCGGGGAAGGCUCUGAUACCAACUUGUAACACCCUCGAUGCGACUAUAUCUCCCACGUGUCGAGGCACGACUUAGAGGCAUAAUCGCAUUGAAGGCAUAUGUCGCAAGUUAGGCAAUAUUCACAACAUCCCAUGUAAUAUAAAUCAUAAAGAGGAGAUAACAUAGUUGGCUUACACUCGCCACGUCAAUCAAGUACAUAAAUAACAUUACAUCAUCCAAACACUCAUGGCCCGACUACGGCGCCAAAAUAAAAGAUAACCCAACAAGCGACACGGUCCCAAUCACCCCCAUCUGGGCACCACUACUGAUCAUCGGGAAAGGAAACAUAGUAACGUUGAGAGUCUUCGUCGAACUCCCACUUGAGCUCGUACGCGUCUCCUGGAGCGGAAUCAUCAGCCCUGCAUCUGGUGUAAUAGUAAUCUGUGAGCCACAGGGACUCGGCAAUCUCGCACCCUCGCGAUCAAGACUAUAUUAGCUUAUAGGUAAGGCAGGGUAAAUAUGUGAGUGGAGCUGCAGCAAGCGACUAGCAAGUAUGGUGGCUAGCUUAUACGCAAAAGAGAGCGAGAAGAGGAGGCAAAGCGUGAGCGAGAAACUAGAGAACAACCUACGCAAACAUUACUCCAACACCGUGUCCACUUCCCGGACUCCGCCGAGAAGAGGCCAUUGUUGGGGAAUGUUGCAGAAAACAAAAAAUUUCCUACGGUUUCACCAAGAUCCAUCUAUGAGUUCAUCUAGCAACGAGUGAUCGGAUGCAUCUACAUACCUUUGUAGAUCACGCGCGGAAGCGUUCAAAGAACGGGGAUGAGGAAGUCGUACUCGACGUGAUCCAAAUCACCGGAGAUCCUAGCGCGGAACGGACGGCACCUCCGCGUUCAACACACGUACGGUCAGCGUAACAUCUCCUUCUUCUUGAUCCAGCAAGGGGGAAGGAGAGGUUGAGGAAGAUGGCUCCAGCAGCAGCACGACGGCGUGGUGGUGAUGGAGCUGCAGUACUCCGGCAGGGCUUCGCCAAGCUCUAUGGAGGAGGAGGAGGUGUUGGAGAGGGAGAGGGAGGCACCAAAAAACAAGGUAAGAGGUCCUCCACCCCCCCCCACUAUAUAUAGGGGGCCUAGGGGGGGCGCCGGCCCUAGGAGAUGCAAUCUCCUAGGGGGGCGGCGGCCAAGGGGUGNNNNNNNNNNNNNNNNNNNNNNNNNNNNNNNNNNNNNNNNNNNNNNNNNNNNNNNNNNNNNNNNNNNNNNNNNNNNNNNNNNNNNNNNNNNNNNNNNNNNNNNNNNNNNNNNNNNNNNNNNNNNNNNNNNNNNNNNNNNNNNNNNNNNNNNNNNNNNNNNNNNNNNNNNNNNNNNNNNNNNNNNNNNNNNNNNNNNNNNNNNNNNNNNNNNNNNNNNNNNNNNNNNNNNNNNNNNNNNNNNNNNNNNNNNNNNNNNNNNNNNNNNNNNNNNNNNNNNNNNNNNNNNNNNNNNNNNNNNNNNNNNNNNNNNNNNNNNNNNNNNNNNNNNNNNNNNNNNNNNNNNNNNNNUGGAUCCCUUCCCACUUCAGCCCAUGGGGCCCUUUGGGAUAGGUGGCCCCACCCGGUGGACCCCCGGGACCCUUCCGGUGGUCCCGGUACAAUACCGGUGACCCCGAAACUUGUCCCGAUGGCCGAAAUAGCACUUCCUAUAUAUAAUUCUUUACCUCCGGACCAUUCCGGAACUCCUCGUGACGUCCGAGAUCUCAUCUGGGACUCCAAACAACAUUCGGGUUACUGCAUAUACAUAUCCCUACAACCGUAGCGUCACCGAACCUUAAGUGUGUAGACCCUACGGGUUCGGGAGACAUGUAGACAUGACCGAGAUUGCUCUCCGGUCAAUAACCAACAGCGGGAUCUGGAUACCCAUGUUGGCUCCCACAUGCUCCUCGAUGAUCUCAUCGGAUGAACCACGAUGUCGAGGAUUCAAGCAACCCCGUAUACAAUUCCCUUUGUCAAUCGAUAUGCUACUUGCCCGAGAUUCGAUCGUCGGUAUCCCAAUACCUUGUUCAAUCUCGUUACCGGCAAGUCACUUUACUCGUACCGUAAUGCGUGAUCCCGUGACCAGACACUUGGUCACUUUGAGCUCAUAAUGAUGAUGCAUUACCGAGUGGGCCCAGUGAUACCUCUCCGUCAUACGGAGUGACAAAUCCCAGUCUUGAUCCGUGUCAACUCAACAGACACUUUCGGAGAUACCCGUAGUAUACCUUUAUAGUCACCCAGUUACGUUGUGACGUUUGGUACACCCAAAGCACUCCUACAGUAUCCGGGAGUUACACGAUCUCAUGGUCUAAGGAAAGGAUACUUGACAUUGGAAAAACUCUAGCAAACGAACUAUACGAUCUUAUGCUAUGUUUAGGAUUGGGUCUUGUCCAUCACAUCAUUCUCCUAAUGAUGUGAUCUCGUUAUCAAUGACAUCCAAUGUUCAUAGUCAGGAAACCAUGACUAUCUGUUGAUCAACGAGCUAGUCAACUAGAGGCUUACUAGGGACAUGUUGGUGUCUAUUAUUCACACAUGUAUUACGAUUUCCGGAUAACACAAUUAUAGCAUGAAUAAAGACAAUUAUCAUGAACAAGGAAAUAUAAUAAUAAUGCUUUUAUUAUUGCCUCUAGGGCAUAUUUCCAAUAGUCUCCCACUUGCACUAGAGUCAAUAAUCUAGUUACAUUGUGAUGAAUCGAACACCCAUGGAAUUCUGGUGUUGAUCAUGUUUUGCUCUAGGGAGAGGUUUAGUCAACGGAUCUGCUACAUUCAGAUCUGUAUGUACUUUACAAAUUUCUAUGUCUCCAUCUUGAACAUUUUCACGGAUGGAGUUGAAGCGACGCUUGAUGUGCCUAGUCUUCUUGUGAAACCUGGGCUCCUUGGCAAGUGCAAUAGCUCCAGUGUUGUCACAGAAGAGCUUGAUUGGCCCCGACGCAUUGGGUAUGACUCCUAGGUCGGUGAUGAACUCCUUCACCCAAAUUGCUUCAUGUGCUGCCUCCGAGGCUGCCAUGUACUCCGCUUCACAUGUAGAUCCCGCCACGACGCUCUGCUUGCAACUGCACCAGCUUACUGCCCCACCAUUCAAAAUAUACACGUAUCCGGUUUGUGACUUAGAGUCAUCCAGAUCUGUGUCAAAGCUAGCGUCGACGUAACCUUUUACGACGAGCUCUUCGUCACCUCCAAGAAACAUUUCCUUAGUCCUUUUCAGGUACUUCAGGAUAUUCUUGACCGCUGUCCAGUGUUCCUUGCCGGGAUUACUUUGGUACCUUCCUACCAAACUUACGGCAAGGUUUACAUCAGGUCUGGUACACAGCAUGGCAUACAUAAUAGAACCUAUGGCUGAGGCAUAGGGGAUGACACUCAUCUCUUCUAUAUCUUCUGCCUUGGUCGGACAUUGAGCUGAGCUCAAUUUCACACCUUGCAACACAGGCAAGAACCCCUUCUUAGAUUGAUCCAUAUUGAACUUCUUCAAUAUCUUAUCAAGGUAUGUGCUUUGUGAAAGACCUAUGAGGCGUCUUGAUCUAUCUCUAUAGAUCUUGAUGCCUAAUAUAUAAGCAGCUUCUCCAAGGUCCUUCAUUGAAAAACUCUUAUUCAAGUAGGCCUUAAUGCUGUCCAAAAGCUCUAUAUCAUUUCCCAUCAAAAGUAUGUCAUCUACAUAUAAUAUGAGAAAUGCUACAGAGCUCCCACUCACUUUCUUGUAAACGCAGGCUUCUCCAUAAGUUUGCAUAAACCCAAACGCUUUGAUCAUCUCAUCAAAGUGAAUGUUCCAACUCCGAGAUGCUUGCACUAGCCCAUAAAUCGAGCGUUGGAGCUUGCACACCUUGUCAGCAUUCUUAGGAUCGACAAAACCUUCCGGCUGCAUCAUAUACAAUUCUUCCUUAAGGAAACCAUUGAGGAAUGCCAUUUUGACGUCCAUUUGCCAUAUCUCAUAAUCAUAGUAUGCGGCAAUUGCUAACAUAAUUCAGACGGACUUCAGCUUCGCUACCGGUGAGAAAGUCUCAUCGUAGUCAACCCCUUGAACUUGUCGAUAACCCUUAGCGACAAGCCGAGCUUUAUGGAUGGUCACAUUACCAUCCGCGUCUGUCUUCUUCUUAAAGAUCCAUUUAUUUUCUAUGGCUCGCUGAUCAUCGGGCAAGUCAGUCAAAGUCCAUACUUCGUUUUCAUACAUGGAUCCUAUCUCAGAUUUCAUGGCUUCCAGCCAUUUGUCGGAAUCCGGGCCCGCCAUCGCUUCUUCAUAGUUCGAAGGUUCAGUGUUGUCCAACAACAUGAUUUCCAAGAUAGGGUUGCCGUACCACUCUGGUGCGGAACGUGUCCUUGUGGACCUACGAAGUUCAGCAGCAACUUGAUUUGAAGUUUCAUGAUCAUCAUCAUUAACUUCCUCUCUAGUCGGUGCAGGCACCUUAGGAACAUUUCCUUGAGUUGCGCCAUUUUCCGGUUCAAGAGGUAAUACUUCAUCAAGUUCUACUUUCCUCCCACUUACUUCUUUCGAGAGAAACUCCUUCUCUAGAAAGGAUCCAUUCUUGGCAACAAAGAUCUUGCCUUCGGAUCUGAGGUAGAAGGUAUACCCAAUAGUUUCUUUAGGGUAUCCUAUGAAGACGCAUUUUAUACCCAAUAGUUUCUUUAGGGUAUCCUAUGAAGACACAUUUUUCCGACUUGGGUUCGAGCUUUUCAGGUUGAAGUUUCUUGACAUAAGCAUCGCAUCCCCAAACUUUUAGAAACAACAGCUUAGGCUUCUUCCCAAACCAUAAUUCAUACGGUGUCGUCUCAACGGAUUUCGACGGAGCCCUAUUUAAAGUGAAUGCGGCAGUCUCUAAAGCAUAGCCCCAAAAUGACAGCGGUAAAUCGGUAAGAGACAUCAUAGAUCGCACCAUAUCUAAUAGAGUGCGAUUACGGUGUUCGGACACACCAUUACGCUGAGGUGUUCCAGGCGGCGUGAGUUGUGAAACUAUUCCACAUUUUCUUAAGUGUGUACCAAAUUCGUGACUCAAGUAUUCUCCUCCACGAUCUGAUCGCAAAAACUUGAUUUUUUUGUCACGUUGAUUCUCAACCUCACUCUGAAAUUCCUUGAACUUUUCAAAGGUUUCAGACUUGUGUUUCAUUAAGUAGAUAUACCCAUAUCUACUCAAGUCAUCAGUGAGGGUGAGAACAUAACGAUAGCCACCACGAGCCUCAACGCUCAUUGGACUGCACACAUCAGUAUGUAUGAUUUCCAAUAGGUUGGUUGCUCGCUCCAUUGUUCCUGAGAACGGAGUCUUGGUCAUCUUACCCAUGAGGCAUGGUUCGCACGUGUCAAAUGAUUCGUAAUCAAGAGACUCUAAAAGUCCAUCUGUAUGGAGCUUCUUCAUGUGUUUGACACCUAUGUAACCAAGGCGGCAGUGCCACAAGUAUGUGGGACUAUCAUUAUCAACCUUACAUCUUUUGGUAUUCACACUAUGAACAUGUGUAGCAUUACGCUCGAGAUUCAUUAAGAAUAAACCAUUCACCAUCGGAGCAUGACCAUAAAACAUAUCUCUCAUAUAAAUAGAACAACCAUUAUUCCCGGAUUUAAAUGAGUAGCCAUCUCGAAUUAAACGAGAUCCCGAUACAAUGUUCAUGCUCAAAGCUGGCACUAAAUAACAAUUAUUAAGGUUUAAAACUAAUCCCGAAGGUAAAUGUAGAGGUAGCAUGCCGACGGCGAUCACAUUGACCUUGGAACCAUUCCUGACGCGCAUCGUCACCUCGUCCUUUGCCAGUCUCCGCUUAUUCCGCAGCUCCUGCUUUGAGUUACAAAUGUGAGCAACUGCACCGGUAUCAAAUACCCAGGAGAUACUACGAGUACUGGUAAGGUACACAACAAUUACAUGUAUAUCACAUAUACCUUUUGUUUUGCCGGCCUUCUUGUCCGCUAAGUAUUUGGGGCAGUUCCGCUUCCAGUGACCACUUCCCUUGCAAUAAAAGCACUCAGUCUCGGGCUUGGGUCCAUUCUUUGGCUUCUUCCCGGCAGCUUGCUUGCCGGGCGCGGCAACUCCCUUGCCGUCCUUCUUGAAGUUCUUUUUACCCUUGCCCUUCUUGAACUUAGUGGUUUUAUUCACCAUCAACACUUGAUGUUCCUUCUUGACUUCUACCUCUGCUGAUUUCAGCAUUGAAAAUAACUCAGGAAUGGUCUUUUCCAUCCCCUGCAUAUUGAAGUUCAUCACAAAGCCCUUGUAGCUUGGUGGAAGCGACUGGAGGAUUCUGUCAAUGACCGCAUCAUCCGGGAGAUUAACUCCCAGAUGAGUCAAGCGGUUAUGUAACCCAGACAUAGUGAGUAUGUGCUCACUGACAGAACUAUUUUCCUCCAUCUUACAGCUGGAGAAUUUGUCAGAGACUUCAUAUCUCUCGACCCGGGCAUGAGCUUGAAAACCCAUUUUUAGCUCUUCGAACAUCUCAUAUGCUCCAUGUCUCUCAAAACGCUUUUGGAGCCCCGGCUCUAAGCUGUAAAGCAUGCCGCGCUGAACGAGGGAGUAGUCAUCAACACGUGUCUGCCAAGCGUUCAUAACGUCUUGGUUCUGUGGGACGGGUGCGUCACCUAGCGGUGCUUGUAGGACAUAUUCUUUCUUGGCAGCUAUGAGGAUGAUCCUCAGGUUCCGGACCCAGUCCGUAUAGUUGCUGCCAUCGUCUUUCAGCUUGGUUUUCUCUAGGAACGCGUUGAAGUUGAGGACUACGUUGGCCAUUUGAUCUACAAGACAUAUUGUAAAUACUUUAGACUAAGUUCAUGAUAAUUAAGUUCAUCUAAUCAAAUUAUUCAAUGAACUCCCACUCAGAUAGACAUCCCUCGAGUCAUCUAAGUAUAACAUGAUCCGAGUUAACUAGGCCGUGACCGAUCAUCACGUGAGACGGACUAGUCAACAUCGGUGAACAUCUUCAUGUUGAUCGUAUCUUCUAUACGACUCAUGCUCGACCUUUCGGUCUUCUCUGUUCCGAGGCCAUGUCUGUACAUGCUAGGCUCGUCAAGUCAACCUAAGUGUUUGCAUGUGUAAAUCUGUCUUACACCCGUUGUAUGUGAACGUUGGAAUCUAACACCGAUAAUCACGUGGUGCUUCGAAACAACGAACUGUCGCAACGGUGCACAGUUAGGGGGAACACUUUCUUGAAAUUAUUAUGAGGGAUCAUCUUAUUUACUACCGUCGUUCUAAGUAAACAAGAUGCAAAAACAUGAUAAACAUCACAUGCAAUCAAAUAAUAAUAGUGACAUGAUAUGGCCAAUAUCACAUAGCUCCUCUGAUCUCCAUCUUGGGGCUCCAUGAUCAUCCUGUCACCGGCAUGACACCAUGAUCUCCAUCAUCGUGUCUCCAUGAAGUUGCUCGCCAACUAUUACUUCUACUACUAUUGCUAACACGUUUAACAAUAAAGUAAAGUAAUUUACAUGGCGUUUCUCAAUGACACGCAGGUCAUACAAAAAUAAAGACAACUCCUAUGGCUCCUGCCGGUUGUCAUACUCAUCGACAUGCAAGUCGUGAUUCCUAUUACAAGAACAUGAUCUCAUACAUCACAUAUAUAUCAUUCAUCAUUCAUCACAACUUUGGCCAUAUCAUAUCACAAAGCACUUGCUGCAAAAACAAGUUAGACGUCCUCUAAUUGUUGUUGCAAGUUUUACGUGGCUGCAAGAGGGUUCUAGCAAGAACGUUUGCUUACCUACGUGAAAGCCACAACGUGAUUUGUCAACUUCUAUUUACCCUUCAUAAGGACCCUUUUCAUCGAAUCCGCUCCAACUAAAGUGGGAGAGACAGACACCCGCCAGCCACCUUAUGCAACUAGUGCAUGUCAGUCGGUGGAACCGGUCUCACGUAAGCGUACGUGUAAGGUUGGUCCGGGCCGCUUCAUCCCACAAUACCGUUGAAGCAAGAUAAGACUAGUAGCAGCAAGAAAGUUAACAACAUCUACGCCCACAACAAAUUGUGUUCUACUCGCGCAAGAAGAACUACGCAUAGACCUAGCUCUGAUACCACUGUUGGGGAACGUUGCAGAAAACAAAAAUUUUCCUACGGCUUCACCAAGAUCCAUCUAUGAGUUCAUCUAGCAACGAGUGAUCGGAUGCAUCUACAUACCUUUGUAGAUCACGCGCGGAAGCAUUCAAAGAACGGGGAUGAGGAAGUCGUACUCGACGUGAUCCAAAUCACCGGAGAUCCUAGCGCCGAACGGACGGCACCUCCGCGUUCAACACACGUACGGUUAGCGUAACGUCUCCUUCUUCUUGAUCCAGCAAGGGGGAAGGAGAGGUUGAGGAAGAUGGCUCCAGCAGCAGCACGACGGUGUGGUGGUGAUGGAGCUGCGGUACUCCGGCAGGGCUUCGCCAAGCUCUAUGGAGGAGGAGGAGGUGUUGGAGAGGGAGAGGGAGGCACCAAAAAACAAGGUAAGGGGUCCUCCAUCCCCCCACUAUAUAUAGGGGGCCUAGGGGGGCGCCGGCCCUAGGAGAUGCAAUCUCCUAGGAGGGCGGCGGCCAAGGGGUGGGGGGCUUGCCCCCCAAGCAAGGGGGCGCCCCCCCCUUUAGGGCUUCCCCACCCUAGGCGCAUGGGCCCUAGGGUAAGUGGCGCCCCAGCCCACUUUGGGCUGGAUCCCUUCCCACUUCAGCCCAUGGGGCCCUCCGAGAUAGGUGGCCCCACCCGGUGGACCCCCGGGACCCUUCCGGUGGUCCCGGUACAAUACCGGUGACCCCGAAACUUGUCCCGAUGGCCGAAAUAGCACUUCCUAUAUAUAAUUCUUUACCUCCGGACCAUUCCGGAACUCCUCGUGACGUCCGGUAUCUCAUCCGGGACUCCGAACAACAUUCGGUUUACUGCAUAUACAUAUCCCUAUAACUCUAGCGUCACUGAACCUUAAGUGUGUAGACCCUACGGGUUCGGGAGACAUGUAGACAUGACCGAGAUUGCUCUCCGGUCAAUAACCAACAGCGGGAUCUGGAUACCCAUGUUGGCUCCCACAUGCUCCUCGAUGAUCUCAUCGGAUGAACCACGAUGUCGAGGAUUCAAGCAACCCCGUAUACAAUUCCCUUUGUCAAUCGGUAUGCUACUUGCCCGAGAUUCGAUCGUUGGUAUCCCAAUACCUUGUUCAAUCUCGUUACCGGCAAGUCACAUUACUCGUACCAUAAUGCAUGAUCCCGUGACCAGACACUUGGUCACUUUGAGCUCAUAAUGAUGAUGCAUUACCGAGUGGGCCCAGUGAUACCUCUCUGUCAUACGGAGUGACAAAUCCUAGUCUUGAUCCGUGUCAACUCAACAGACACUUUCGGAGAUACCCGUAGUAUACCUUUAUAGUCACCCAGUUACGUUGUGACGUUUGGUACACCCAAAGCACUCCUACGGUAUCCGGGAGUUACACGAUCUCAUGGUCUAAGGAAAGGAUACUUGACAUUGGGAAACUCUAGCAAACGAACUAUACGAUCUUAUGCUAUGUUUAGGAUUGGGUCUUGUCCAUCACAUCAUUCUCCUAAUGAUGUGAUCUCGUUAUCAAUGACAUCCAAUGUCCAUAGUCAGGAAACCAUGACUAUCUGUUGAUCAACGAGCUAGUCAACUAGAGGCUUACUAGGGACAUGUUGGUGUCUAUUAUUCACACAUGUAUUACGAUUUCCGGAUAACACAAUUAUAGCAUGAAUAAAGACAAUUAUCAUGAACAAGGAAAUAUAAUAAUAAUGCUUUUAUUAUUGCCUCUAGGGCAUAUUUCCAACAGCCAUCACGGUAAUACACUCAGUUGAUUCAUUUUAAUUAAUUAAGGUUCAAGUUGUCUACAACCGGACAUUAACAAAUUCCCAUCUGCCCAUAACCGCGGGCACGGCUUUCGAAAGUUCAAAUCCCUGCAGGGGAGUCCCAACUUAGCCCAUGACAAGCUCUCAUGGUCAACGAAGGAAUAGACCUCCUCCCAAGACGUUCCGAUCAGACUCGGUAUCUCGGUAAUUCAAGACACUUCGACAGGUUAAAACAAGACCAGCAACACCGCCCGAAUGUGCCGACAAAUCCCGAUAGGAGCUGCACAUAUCUCUUUCUCAGGGCAGACUCAGAUUGUCUUAGGUACGGGUAGGCCAGCCCAGAGUUGCCCCUGGUGGCCACCGGCGGCUGACAGGUGGACCAACACUCAGAGGAGCACUGGCCCGGGGUGGUUAAAAUAAUGAUGACCCUUGAGUCUGCAGAACCCAAGGGAAAGAAAAGGCUAGGUGGCAAAUGGUAAAACCAAGGUUGGGCAUUGCUGGAAAAGCUUUAAUCAAGGCAAAAUAUCAAGGGGUUCCCAUUAUAACCCAACCGCGUAAGGAACGCAAAAUCCGGGAACAUAACACCGAUUUGACGGAAACUAGGGCGGCAAGAGUGGAACAAAACACUAGGCGAGAGGCCGAGCCUUCCACCCUUUACCAAGUAUAUAGAUGCAUUAAGAUAACAUAGCAAUAUAAUGAUAUCCCAACAAGUAAAUAAAUGUUCCAACAAGGAACGGCUUUCAAUCUUCACCUGCAACUAGCAACGCUAUAAGAGGGGCUGAGCAAAGCGGUAACAUAGACAAUCAACGGUUUGCUAGGACAAGGUGGGUUAGAGGUUUGACAUGGCAAUUUGGGAGGCUUGAAAGCAAGUGGUAGGCAUCGUAGAAAUGGCAUAGCAAAAGAGCGAGCAAGCUAGCAUAGCAAAGAUAGUAGUGAUUUCGAGGGUAUGAUCAUCUUGCCUGCACAGUUGUCAGAGUUGACUGGAUCCUCGAAAGCAAACUCAACGGGCUCCUCGUUAGCGAACUCGUCUCCCGGCUCUACCCAAAUAAGACAAGCAAGCAACAAGGAUACAAUCAACCACGUGCAAACUCAAACAAGACGGUGCGAAGAUGAUUUGCUAUGCGGGAUGCGAUGCGGGAUAGAAAAUGCAAGAUGUGACAGGAAAUGCAUGAACCUGGCCUCAACUUGGAAAACCAAGUGUGUCACUAGAAAGAUGAAAUGAAAUCGCUUGAAAACGAUAUAAAGAAUGCCGGAAUCGGAGUUACGGUUUGGAAAUGGCAAGCGAUUCAAAAAUGACACCGGUCUGCGAUUUACAGCAAGUAGGCAUCUAAAUGCAACGAAAUGAACAUGCUAUAGUACCCAAACAUGACAACAAAAUACAUGGCAGGGAUGCACACAAAAUGCUUAACAAAAGUCUAGCACUGAUCUACAGCCAAUUCAUCCAUUAACAGGUUCAAACAAGCAUGGCAAAAAUGCAUAUGGCAAACAUAUCUCAGACUUAGUGAAAUUAACACUUGUCUGGAAUUUCAGAUCAGGUAGCCCUCUUCGGAGCAACAAAACUAUAUGCUACAGGACCUGAACAUGGAAAAGUAAAGCCUGGCAUGGAGCUACUCAAAGAUCUUAACAAAAGUCCCUUAGUGACCUUGAGCCAAAAGGGAUCAAAAAAUACAAUUGCAAGCAUGUGAACAUAGCAAAAACAUAAUCAGUUUUCAGACUUAGUGAAAACUGGCACAUGCUGAAAUAUAACUCAAGUAGGCAUGUUUACGAGCUCGAUGCACUCACUACGGUGCAAGUCAUGGCAAGACAAGCAUACAUACAUCAAGAUGGCACAAAAUGCAAGCUAGACAUGGCAAGAACAAUAACAUAGCAUGCACGGAUCAACUACAACAACACCGGCAAAAUUGCAAACAAGUUGACAAUCUGCCCAGAUUCACAAAGUAGCAAAAGUAGAGCUCGAUUGACUCAAGCUAGGGUGCUCCAUAAUUGCAAACAAAGAUAUGGAUGGAUAGAACACUACAAUAUUAACAAAACAUCCUUACUGAUCAUCCUUAAAAGAGGCACGGAUCACUAGGAAACAACAAGAACAUAUGGCAUCAUGAGAUAAACAGCUCCAGGACUUGGUGAAAUUACUAAGUCCCUGAAAACAGAAUUAGCAAGUGCACCACUUUGCAAGCUUGCACAAGUCACCACAUACAUCACAAAAAUACAAGGGUUGCACCUCUGGAAAGAUGACAAAACCCUUAACAAAACACAUGUAGAGCAUCAGGGCAUAUCAUGCACACAAUAAUCAUGGCAAAAAUGACAAAAGUGCUAAACGGAGUAGCAGAUCUGACAAAUAACUCAAGUAGCCCUCUUCUAACAGCAUUUCGGGCAUCAAGAUGAACUCAAAUGAAAAUGAUGCAAUGGAAUGAAAUGAUGUACUCUCUGAUAUGAACAUUUUGAUGUGUUAUAUGCAUGAAUCGGAGCUACAGAUGCAAAGUUACGGGGCCACGAACGUGAGCAUAUGGACUGAAAAUAUCAGGGACUUAGUGAAAAACAUGCAACCUCACAGAUCUAGGGUUUUGGUGGCACGCGGCCCGAGGUUCACCGGCGCGAGCUCGAGGUCGCCGGCGAGGUGGGUUCGUCGGCGGGGAGAAGAGGNNNNNNNNNNNNNNNNNNNNNNNNNNNNNNNNNNNNNNNNNNNNNNNNNNNNNNNNNNNNNNNNNNNNNNNNNNNNNNNNNNNNNNNNNNNNNNNNNNNNNNNNNNNNNNNNNNNNNNNNNNNNNNNNNNNNNNNNNNNNNNNNNNNNNNNNNNNNNNNNNNNNNNNNNNNNNNNNNNNNNNNNNNNNNNNNNNNNNNNNNNNNNNNNNNNNNNNNNNNNNNNNNNNNNNNNNNNNNNNNNNNNNNNNNNNNNNNNNNNNNNNNNNNNNNNNNNNNNNNNNNNNNNNNNNNNNNNNNNNNNNNNNNNNNNNNNNNNNNNNNNNNNNNNNNNNNNNNNNNNNNNNNNNNNNNNNNNNNNNNNNNNNNNNNNNNNNNNNNNNNNNNNNNNNNNNNNNNNNNNNNNNNNNNNNNNNNNNNNNNNNNNNNNNNNNNNNNNNNNNNNNNNNNNNNNNNNNNNNNNNNNNNNNNNNNNNNNNNNNNNNNNNNNNNNNNNNNNNNNNNNNNNNNNNNNNNNNNNNNNNNNNNNNNNNNNNNNNNNNNNNNNNNNNNNNNNNGGUCGCCGGAGCUCGGCAGCUCCUCUCCCUGGAGCUUGGCGCGGAGGGGCGGAGGGGAACGGGCCCCGCGGGCCAGACGCGGGCCCCGCGGGCCGGCGGCGGUGGGAGGCGACGAAGUGGGCACGGCGCCACAUGGCGCUUGGCGAUUGGUCCGGGCGGAAAUGUCCGGCCGUCCGGAUUUUGUCCGGCGGCUGGAGGAGGAGGGGGGACUAGGGUUUCGUCCGGAUUUUCGGGGAGGCGGCUAAAUAUAUAGGUAGAGGGAGCUAGGAGAGUCCAAAUGAGGUGCGGUUUUUUGUCACGCGAUCAUGAUCGAACGCUCUAGAUGAUGGAGCAAAGUUAGGUGGGUUUUGGGCCAAAUUGGGGGGGUGUUGGGAUGCAACACACACGAGGCCUUUUCAGUCCCUCGGUUAACCAUUGGAGUAUCAAACGAAGUCUAAAUGACACGAAACUUGACAGGCGGUCUACCGGUAGUAAACCAAGGCCGCUUGGCAAGUCUCGGUCCAAUCCGGAAAUGUUUAAUCUCCACACACGAAAGAAAGCUAGAAAUGGCCACCGGAGGAGAACGAAGCGCCGGAAUGCAAAACGGACAAUGGGGAAAAUACUCGAAUGCAUGAGACGAACACGUAUGCAAAUGCAAUGCACAUGAUGACAUGAUAUGAGAUGCAUGACAACGACAACAACACACAGAGACAAAACCCGAACCCGAGGAAAUAAAUAUAACUUAACGCCGGAAACGGCAAGAGUUGGAGUACAAAUUGGGAAAGUUACAUCCGGGGUGUUACACCAUGCCUAAAUAGCAAUCACGGAGUCUCGACUGCCUUUACCAUAUGACGUUUAAUCUCUUCAUUUCAUUUGGCAUCAAUGUAAUUAAUGAGUUAAUGAUGCUCGCAUCUUGUAUAUUUUGGUGCAUUUUGUAACUAAUAUGUGGAAGUAGAUUGUCACCUUAAGAACUAUCGCAAACAAUAAUAAAAACACUUUGUGCCCCAAAUUUUGAGAGUGCAUUUUUUAGUGAGAUUAUACAAAUGUAUGUAUAAAGAUUACAAAAAUACAUGUUAAUGAAUCAUUGCAAAUUGUAGCGAUCCAACUUCGGACGGUCAAGUCUCUGUGCUUAGGUGUCAUCCCUGGAUCGGUAUUGCUGACACACACAGUACUUGAGGAUUUAUAACAGAGUUCAAUUACACACUUAUUAUAUCGAGUGUCUCAAAAAGAGUACAUAUUACAAUAAAAUGGCCGAGGGCCAUCUAAAAUUAAGAUAACUGCGGAAGCAUAGAAGAUAAAUGAGUCCAUCCAACUCCACGGCAAUACUAAGUGCAUGACAAUGACCUAGCGCACCUUACUCUUCGUCUGAAAAUUCUGCAACAUAAUAUGUUGCAGCCGUGUAGGUCAGCACAUGGAAUAUGCUGACAAGAUAACACUAUAGAACAAUGAACAAAAAAUAGCUAUCACUACAUGCAUAUAUGGCUGGUGGAAGCUCUGUGGUUAUUAUUUGCAUAGUUUUUCCCUACAACAAAGGAAUAUAUUUUAUUUAUCUACAAAGUUUGUUGAAAUAAUUGAGAAGGUAACCCCAACUCAAUCCCAAAAUUAAAAUUAAUAACCCGACAAAUUAAUUAAGUAAAGUGAUGAGAUCAACAUAAUAAUUCAAGUACUAGAUACUCAAGAUGUCCAUAACCGGGGACACGGCUAACCAUGAUUAGAUUGUACACUCUGCAGAGGUUUGCGCACUUUUCCCCACAAGACUCGAUCUUCUCCGUUGUAUUUCUCGCACUGCAUGAUGUUUGAGAAAUAGAUGACCGAGACACAGUCUUUUCGAAGAGGUCACCUUAACCAAUAGAUAGGCUGGUACACCUACAAUCACCUACAUCUGCUAGCCCAUCAUGAAAAGGAUUCCCACAACUUACUCAACUAUGCCAGAGCCCAUAAUGGCUUGUGGCUGCACACGGAAGUUUCUAGCAUGAAUAACAUCAUGAUCCCUUUGAGCCUGGGUGGCGAACCAUAGGAUGAUCACACGGGUUCCCCGGGAUCUCUUAGGACAACACUGGUAUAUCCCCAGGUGUCCACAACCAAUCCACCCAGAUGUGUGUUAAAGUAGCCACCUUAAAUUUUCCUUAGUUAAUAAUAACUCCCAAAGUGGUCGGACCCUUCCCUGGACCCUGCGCAAGCGGGAGCUACAUGCACCAGGUUGCCCUUUUUUAAUAAUAACUCCCAUAUCUUUCAUGAAUCUCUCAAACCAAUUCACGUCUACGAGCAUAGCAAAGUAGUGCAAUCAUAACGUGGUAACACCCAUGGUUUGAAUAUAAGACAAUAGGUUCCUACCUCAUCAACUACUUUCCAAUACCCACAUGUUAUCAAUCCUACUCAUGCAAUGUUUGAGGGUUGAGACUAAUGCAUAAAAACUAGGUAAUAAAGGGAUAUGAUCAAAGUGUUACUUGCCUUGCUGACGAUCGGAAAACCCUAAAGAUUCGUAGUAGCAAGCCUCGCACUCCAGAAACUCUAUGGUGAACAAACAAUAGCAUACAUAAGCACUCAAUCAUAAGAUGCAAAGGUAAAACCCAAAAUAAAAGAUCCAAACUGAAAGUUCAAGUGAAGAGCUUCGAUUUGCAAAAAGAAUCAAUCGAAUCAGAGUUAUGAAACUCAAACUAUGAUCAAAAGAAGUUCAUAUUCAAAUUUGCUUGAAAACAAAUUUUUAAUUUCCAAAAUCAUGUUCAAGUGGAUUAUCUAGAUAGAGGGGAACAAGACGAAGAUUUUGGCGUUAGUUUCACUGGAUUUGGAUAAACGAGCGAAAAGUAGUGAGGGUUUGAAGAUCAGGGACUAAUCUGUAAUAGAAGUAAUUAUGGAUAGGUCCCUGGCCGAAAAAUAAAACUAAAAAGAAAAACGUAACGGAUGAACGUCUGCUAACAAAGACUAACGAACGAAUUCGUUCGCUAAUAAAACGAAUCGGGUGAACGUUCGCUAUUUAAUGUAACCGAAUAAAAAAUAAACCGAUCUAAAAUAAAAACCGAGAAAAACCAAAGAACCGGAUCGGUUUUUACCGGUUCAGCGGUUUUCGGCGAAAACCGGCGACAGAUCGGGAACGGCGGCGGUGGCGGCAAACUACGGCGAGCAGGGCGGCGAGCGUCGGUGCGGCACGGCUCCGGCGUCGGCGGGAGGCGGCAAGGGCGUCAUGCGGCCGCGGGGCGCAGUGCGGGCGGCGUGCGGCAGCAAUGGCGGCGGCGGCGCUAAGCGGCAGGAUGCGGGGCUGCGACAGCGGCUUGGUGAGGAGGAUGGGGUGGCGGGCGGCGGUAUUUAAGAGGGAGGGAGGAGGCCGACUUGGGGCAAGGGGCAAGGCGGGGCGCGUGGCGGCGCCGGACUCCGACGGUUUUUUUUAAUAAAUUCCGCCGAAAGAAAAAAAUUCCAAAAAAAUCCUAAAAUCCCAAAAAUAAUUUUCACGGUCCUCUCCUAAUAUUUAGGACAACAUGAACAUUUUUCAGGGUUAAAAUGCAAAUUUUCCUAAUUUAAUCGAAUAAAAUCUCAAAUAAAAUCAAAUAAAUUAUAUAUUUUUAUUCAAAAUUAAAUUUCAAUUAUUUCCUCUGUUUUAAAGAAGUCAUAUUAUCUUCUCUCAUUAUUUUAUUUAUUUUGAAAUAAUUGGGAAAAUAAUUUCAAAUAAAAAUCAACUUGAUCCAAUUUACUAAUUUUAAAAAUUCAAAAAUGGAAUUUUAUGAAAACCUCCAACUCUCUCAAAUGGUCCUUGAGUUGCUUAAGGCCUCUAGGAUCAAAAUGUCCAAAUAAAACCAAUUCAAAAUGCAAGAAUUAUGGAUGCAUAUGAUGACCUAAUGAUUAACAUCCAAAUUGACAAUUGGGAUGUCACACAAAUAUAUGUAAAUGAAAUAUAUAUUUAAGAAAUUUUAGAGAUAGUUAUUACUGAAAAGUAUGUUAAUGAAAUAAUCAUUAUUCCAAAAAAAUGAUUUCAUAUAUGUUCAUCAUUUCAAAUAGUACUAUGAGGAAACUUUUAUUACUUUAAAAAUGUGAUUUUCAAUUGUAUGAUUAUUUGAAGAAAAAAUUGAUUCCAACUAUUCCAUUACUUUGAAAAAGUGUUCAACUUUGUCAUAUGUUUAUUUUUUUUCAAAGAACGGUCUAAAAUGUUUGUGUUAUUUAAAAUAAGUGCUCUCAACUUUAAACUAUUAUCAUAUUAUUAUUUAAAAGAUUGAUCUUUGGAAGCUUUUCAUUAUUUCAAAAAGGGGAUUUCAACUAGUUCAUUAUUUCAAAAAAAAAUUAAACCUUUUCACUAUUUUUGAAAAAAACUACCACAUUUUUGGGAAUUUAUUUGACAUAUGUUUCAAUUACAAUACUCAAUUUCAGAAAACAUUUACAUGUAGUUUU